This 440-nucleotide ribosomal RNA is filed under the name uncultured bacterium. RNAcentral's name for it is "partial 16S ribosomal RNA". It matches the Rfam family "Bacterial small subunit ribosomal RNA", at positions 338 to 795 of the family's 1533-position model. The record is from RNAcentral.
CCUACGGUGGGCAGCAGUGGGGAAUAUUGCACAAUGGGGGAAACCCUGAUGCAGCGACGCCGCGUGAGCGAUGAAGUAUUUCGGUAUGUAAAGCUCUAUCAGCAGGGAAGAAAAUGACGGUACCUGCCUACGAAGCCCCGGCUAACUACGUGCCAGCAGCCGCGGGAAUACGUAGGGGGCAAGCGGUAUCCGGGUUUACUGGGUGUAAAGGGAGCGUAGACGGCGAUGCAAGCCAGAUGUGAAAGCCCGGGGCUCAACCCCGGAACUGCAUUUGGAACUGUAUAGCUGGAGUGUCGGAGAGGCAGGCGGAAUUCCUAGUGUAGCGGUGAAAUGCGUAGAUAUUAGGAGGAACACCAGUGGCGAUGGCGGCCUGCUGGACGAUGACUGACGUUGAGGCUCGAAAGCGUGGGGAGCAAACAGGAUUAGAUACCCCAGUAGUC